Molecule: ribosomal RNA, 515 nt
Filed under: Prioneris philonome clemanthe
Lineage: Eukaryota; Metazoa; Arthropoda; Insecta; Lepidoptera; Pieridae
Description: partial 16S ribosomal RNA
Rfam family: Bacterial large subunit ribosomal RNA (bases 392-515)
Source: RNAcentral
GUCUUUUUGAUUAUAAUUUAAAGUCUAAUCUGCCCACUGAAUUAAUUUAAAGGGCUGCAGUAUUUUGACUGUACAAAGGUAGCAUAAUCAUUAGUCUUUUAAUUGAAGACUUGUAUGAAUGAUUUGAUGAAAUAUAAACUGUCUCUUUAUUAUUAGUAGAAUUUAAUUUUUUAGUUAAAAAGCUAAAAUUUUUUUAAAAGACGAGAAGACCCUAUAGAGUUUUAUUUUUGAGUUUUUAAAAAUAUUUUAUAAAAAUUAUAAUUUUUUAAAAAUUUAAAAAUUUUGUUGGGGUGAUGAAAAAAUUUAUUAAACUUUUUUUAAGAAAAAUAAAAACAUUAAUUUAUGAAUUUUUGAUCCAUAAUUUAUGAUUAUAAGAUUAAAUUACCUUAGGGAUAACAGCGUAAUUUUAUUUUUUAGUUCAAAUAAAAAUUAAAGUUUGCGACCUCGAUGUUGGAUUAAGAUAAAAUUUAAAUGCAAAAGUUUAAAGUUUUGAUCUGUUCGAUCAUUAAAAUCUU